AUUGAACGCUGGCGGCAGGCCUAACACAUGCAAGUCGAGCGGCAGCGGAAAGUAGCUUGCUACUUUGCCGGCGAGCGGCGGACGGGUGAGUAAUGUCUGGGAAACUGCCUGAUGGAGGGGGAUAACUACUGGAAACGGUAGCUAAUACCGCAUCACGUCGCAAGACCAAAGAGGGGGACCUUCGGGCCCCUUGCCAUCAGAUGUGCCCAGAUGGGAUUAGCUAGUAGGUGGGGUAAUGGCUCACCUAGGCGACGAUCCCUAGCUGGUCUGAGAGGAUGACCAGCCACACUGGAACUGAGACACGGUCCAGACUCCUACGGGAGGCAGCAGUGGGGAAUAUUGCACAAUGGGCGCAAGCCUGAUGCAGCCAUGCCGCGUGUAUGAAGAAGGCCUUCGGGUUGUAAAGUACUUUCAGCGGGGAGGAAGGUGUUGAGGUUAAUAACCUCAGCGAUUGACGUUACCCGCAGAAGAAGCACCGGCUAACUCCGUGCCAGCCGCCGCGGUAA
This 506-nucleotide ribosomal RNA is filed under the name uncultured bacterium. RNAcentral describes it as "partial 16S ribosomal RNA". It matches the Rfam family "Bacterial small subunit ribosomal RNA", at positions 30 to 523 of the family's 1533-position model. The record is from RNAcentral.